GAUGAACGCUGGCGGCGUGCUUAACACAUGCAAGUCGAACGGAAGGACGCUGCUUUUGUGUGGUGCUCGAGUGGCGAGCGGGUGAGUAACACAUGAGUAUCCUGCCCUUGACUUUGGGAUAACUUCAGGAGACUGCGGCUAAUACCGGCUAGGAGAUCCUGCUGCAUGGGGGUGUUUGGAAAUUUUCGGCGGUUGGGGAUGUACGCGCGGCUUAUCAGCUUGUUGGUGGGGUAGUGGCUUACCAGGGCUUUGACGGAUAGCCGGCCUGAGAGGGUGACCGGGCACAAUGGGCCUGAGAUACGGCGCAGUCGGCUAUGGGAGGCAGCAGUCGGGAGUCUUGCACAACGGGGCGGCGUGUGAUGCAGAGAUGUUGGGUGCGGGAUGCCGUCUUUCUGGGUGUAAACCGCUGUAGCCUGUGACGAAGCGGGAGUGACGGUAAUGGGUAAAGAAGCACCGGCUAACUACGUG
This 468-nucleotide ribosomal RNA is filed under the name uncultured bacterium. RNAcentral describes it as "partial 16S ribosomal RNA". It matches the Rfam family "Bacterial small subunit ribosomal RNA", at positions 28 to 507 of the family's 1533-position model. The record is from RNAcentral.